UUCUCAAUCAUAACACAUCCAUCCCCACACACCUUCUUUCCCCACUCUCUGCUUCUCUGUCUUUCACAAACGCGCACAUAAAAACACACACCAAAUAUUUUUUCACACUUCCCAUAAUCCAUCUUUUCUUCAUUAUUCUAAACUGUCACUAAUCCCACUCCACUUCACUGGUUUUUCCCGACCAGAAUAGUCCCAUCUUAACCAUUCACAUUUUUCUUCAAGGAAUUCUCCUCUUUGAUCUGCCUAUAAAUCUACUAAGCAAACACCAAGGACAGUCACAAUUUCUUUUUUAAAAAAAUGUCAAUGGACAUGAUGGCAACCGAACGUGUUUGUUAUGUUCACUGCAACUUCUGCAACACCACUCUAGCGGUCAGUGUUCCAUGCAGCAGUAUGCUCACCAUUGUUACGGUUAGAUGUGGACACUGUGCCAAUCUGCUAUCAGUUAACAUGGGAGCAUCACUUCAACCUUUUCCUUCUCAAGAAACUCAGCAUCUUUCUACCGUUGCUAAGUUACAGAGACAGCACCUGAGCGUUCAAGAAGCAUGCAGCAAGGAACUGGGAUCAUCUUCAAAAUGCAAAUCAUUUGAGUCCGUAGACCAUGAGCAACCUAGGAUUCCUCCAAUUCGUCCUCCAGAGAAGAGACAGCGUGUUCCUUCGGCUUAUAACCGGUUCAUUAAAGAGGAAAUACAAAGAAUUAAGGCCAGUAAUCCAGAUAUCAGCCACAGAGAAGCUUUUAGCACGGCUGCAAAAAACUGGGCACAUUUCCCUCACAUUCACUUUGGGUUAAAGCUGGAUGGCAAUAAGCAAGCAAAGUUGGACCAGGGAGAUGCUACUCAAAAGUCUAACGGAUUUUACUGAUUACAUAUAAAUGGAAGUUUAUGUUAUCAGCUGUUUUUUUCUGUGUUUGACCUAAAUCAGUGAAAAAAGAGGUUGAUGAUAUGAUUGCUAUUCUUGUGAUUGCAUUAAUUACUGUGUUGAACUUAGGCAAUUAUUAAGAAAACAAACAUUGUAAGUUUAAUUCUGCUAUAAUAACGCGUCCUUUUGUUUUGUAAUAA
This is a non-coding RNA of Vigna umbellata (rice bean), 1055 nucleotides long. The record is from RefSeq and is a predicted model, not a curated record. Lineage: Eukaryota; Viridiplantae; Streptophyta; Magnoliopsida; Fabales; Fabaceae.